UACGAAGGGGGCUAGCGUUGCUCGGAAUUACUGGGCGUAAAGCGCACGUAGGCGGCUUUCUAAGUCGGGGGUGAAAUCCUGGAGCUCAACUCCAGAACUGCCUUCGAUACUGGAGAGCUCGAGUCCGGGAGAGGUGAGUGGAACUGCGAGUGUAGAGGUGAAAUUCGUAGAUAUUCGCAAGAACACCAGUGGCGAAGGCGGCUCACUGGCCCGGUACUGACGCUGAGGUGCGAAAGCUAGGGGAGCGAACAGG
RNAcentral lists this ribosomal RNA (253 nucleotides) under uncultured bacterium. RNAcentral's name for it is "partial 16S ribosomal RNA". It matches the Rfam family "Bacterial small subunit ribosomal RNA", at positions 524 to 776 of the family's 1533-position model. The record is from RNAcentral.